This is a long non-coding RNA of Gallus gallus (chicken), 4770 nucleotides long. RefSeq lists it as uncharacterized. The transcript is spliced from 3 exons. The record is from RefSeq and is a predicted model, not a curated record. Lineage: Eukaryota; Metazoa; Chordata; Aves; Galliformes; Phasianidae.
GAGGGAGGGAGGGAGGGAGGGAGCAGAUAUAAAUGGGCCUUUAAUGCAAUUAGAUUAGGAAUUAGGGGAAGAUUUAUAACUGGAGGGAAAAGUCCUGGGCACAGUUUUCCAUAGAAAAACAACAAUGAGAGAGUGGGGAAAGAAACAACCAUCAAUAUCUGUGUAGCGGUACACAUUCAUUGAGCUCAGAUAACUCCUGCUUUCCCAUGCUUGGGAAGAGAGGCAAUGCCUGAAACUUACUAGUAAACUCCAAAGGUACCUGACUAUGCUCCAAGCUCAUGAAGCUUGUGAGAGAUGACUUGGUCACUUGUGCUAAUUAGGUCUUUAAGGCUCAGAUCUGCCUUUAUAAGUAUGAACACAUCAAUGAAGAUGUCCACAAAGAACUCCUGAAAACCUACGCAUGGACUAGUCUUUGUUCCAGAAGACCUCACGUCCCUCCCAGCAUAAUUUCAGUUCCACAUUUCCUCCUUUGUAGCUGUGUGAUUUGAAUGCUUCUUUGAGUUCUUUGAGCUGUGUGAAUGUAAAGAAUGGUUAAAAAAAGAAAAAAGAAAAGAUAAACAAACAAACAAAAAAACUAAUUGUAAAACAUGGCUUUGGAUGAAGGAGAUCAGCUUUACAUGUGGAAAAGUAGGGUCAGUGUAGUUUCUCUGCCUUCUAAAAGACUAGACUAUGUCUACGUACACUGUUUAGAACUUCUGUUUUAACUUUCUGAAGUCAAAGAAAUAGUUAUAAACUUGACUGGAAAGCCCUUGGCUGGAUCAUUUUCCAUUCGAAAAGGUAAUUUUCAAAAUGAAACAGUUUAUUUAAGGAAAUGAACAACACUGAGCAUCCUGUACUGUCACAUUUUGAAACAAAUACUUAAUUGUUUGCAUCAUGCAAUCAGUUUUCCCUAAUAGUAAAAAGUCAAAAUCCAAACAGUAUAUGUUGGCUACCUUGAAGAAAAAAUGUCUAUGUCUAAUGUGAGUUAGCUGUGCGGAUUUCUUGGCACUGCAGUCAAAGAUCUGUUCAAGACAACCUAGCUCUACUGAAUGGAUAACCCCGGCAUAGUUUGGAUAUCCAGGCACUUGUUUCCACUUCAAAGAUGGUUUUUUUUAGCCUAUGAUUCAAGUCACUGGCAAGACGUUACCAAGUGCAAAUAGCAAAUGACCACCUCAGAUGUUAGCAAAUAGAUUUUUGCAUACUUGCCACCCUCCAAGACCACCACCUUCUGCACAAGUUACUACUCAUUCAGAAGAGCUGGCAGCUGCAGUUAGCUGUGGUUUGAGAACUGGGUCAUUUGGAGAUAGCUGGCCUGGUAAUCUCAGCUCUUAAAAGGCUGAAAGGCGAUCUCAGCCCCCGGUCCUGAUGAUAGAUGGAGAUGCCUUUACAGCAAUGUAGGAGAGGAACUAAGGUGAUAUCAUAGGCUAACUAUUGCAACUCUCCCCAGCAUGAGAGCAGCCCCACAAGUAGAUCUAAGCCACCAAAACUCGUUCAGCGCUGGUUCCCAAGGCCGAAGAAGGUGUUUUUGUCAAGGGGGAGGAGGUGGUACACGCAAGUCUCCUGACUUCUCCCGCACGCCAGUAGAUGGAGCUCGGUGUUACCGAAGAUCUCGGCACCGCCGGCCGAAGACGUACACAUUCACGCCGUUCUACGUCAGGCCUGCUGUUAGAAUCAACCGUGUUACCUUAUAUUAAAGGUCUCGUUUACUUUGUGUUCACACUUUCCAAGAACUCUUUUCUUAGAUUAGGAAUAUUACCAGGUUUCAUACUGAAAACUAAGUUGUCAUUUGCAUUCCUGUUUUUAAGCCGGUUGAAAACUGGCAAUUAGCUAUAAAAAUUUUCUUCAGAAAACAUUUGGAAUAGGCUAGAGGAUGCUAUCAUCAUUCAAAACAUGGAUGAAACUAAUUUCACAGUUCCCUCAGAAUUUAAUAAAGUAAAAAUGGAGAACAAUCCUUUCUCCUUUGUUCUCCUUGGUGUCAUGUUCAAAAAGCUUGUUUGGCUAAAAUGCAAAAAGCUUACUUCUUGCAAGCCUUGUCUCCUUUACAAUAGUUCUUUUCUCAUCUCCUAAAUUGAAAUCUCGUAUAUAUUUACAAAUCUAAAGCUCCUUAUAUAUAUAUAAAUAUCUGUAUGUAUAUAUUUAUGAUCUGUAGCACCCACCCUUACAUCACGUUCCAUCUCUCCUCACUUUGUUUGCUCCUUAGUCAGUGCACUCGUAAGCAGACAGGAGAUGACACAUCAGCACCAUAAAACAGGACAUUUCCUCAGAACUAGUUUUCCCCCCAGGGCAGCUGUGCUAUGCACAAAUCAAUUCCGCGCUUUGCAGUACCACAGUAAGUUCUUACACGGGUUCUUCUUCAAUUCAUUCAACAUCCACUAAAGUAAAUGGAAAUACCUAACCGAUCUCAGUGGACUUCAUAGUCAGUUCUGAAUAGCAGAAUGUCUUCUCUUUAACUAUCAACUACAAUUAUUUUUAAUAAAACUAUCUAUUUGGCUGUAAUGGACAAGAAAGAGUCGUUUCCUGUCAACAAAGGCCACUGGUAUGUAUUUUUGUUCCUUCACAGUGUGUCAGUUUUGUAUAGUUUUACAAAGUUCUUGAUUAAGCCAACGUAUUUGCAGUGCUGAUUUAUGCAACCUACUCAUGCAUUUUAUUGAUACAGGCUAAUCCGGGUGAUAUUCUGGAGGAUAUUUCCUUUUCCUUUUUAAAAACAUACAGCUGUGUUGCCAUCAUUUCUCUAUCCUGAGUUCCUCCAGUUCUGCCACAAUCUGAUGAAAUUCAAAAUCUGAUUCAUGUCUUGAUUAAAUGAUUAACUUCACUUUUUUGACACCACCAGAAGCGUAUAUGAGUUUGGACCACAUAGAAGGCCUCAUCCGAAUUCCUGAAAUUUUGAAGCUGUUUUAACAAGUCUUUGAAUUCCUGUCAUACCUUCUAUUUCCUCUCUUGCUGUAGGUAUGAGCUGAUUUUUUCUUUUUCUUCUACUCUACGGCAUUUUGCUCAACAAUGCAAAGUUGAAUACUUCUGGAAAGCAGUUAUGUGGCAAAGUUUUGUGAUUCGUUUGGACUAUGAACAAGGAGAGGAAAAUCCAAAGUCCAGCUUUUGUUUGGGGAUGAUACAGGUGAAGGCUUGAAGGGAAUUUGGAGCUAUGAAGAUAGGAAUUCCUCUUCUGAUCUCACCAGUAAUAUGGUGGGCUAUCUCUCUCAAUGGCAGCAGAACCAGAAUUCUUAAGCCAAACGUUAAAAGGUCUUGGCUUUUCAAACAUGCUCUUGUAGAGUUUGCCUAACUCAUCCUUCAAGUCUUUCUAUGCUGGAUAUUUUACAGUCUUCUGGAGAAAUCUUGUCCCAAUGGUUUUUUGUCUUUUCUAUUAGAUGGUGGACUUUCUGCGCAACAGAUGGCAUGUUAUUUUAAUAUGGACUUACCUACAUAAAGGGGAAUCACUAAAGAAGCAUGAAUUACUACAUAUAUCAGCACAAUACAGUCUCUGCAGAAGGCUAUGGAAAUAAACAUUUUGAUGAAAAUGUGACAUUUUACAUGAAAAAACCAGCAGUGUAACUGAAGUACAUAACCAUGAAUUAAGAGACAUGACAUCUCUUUCCAGACUAACCCCAUGUUGACAGAGCAUCUAGCAGCGAAGGGUAACUGAGAAUGCUACAGAGUACAACACUCUUGCCAUCCUGAGUCUAGAAGCAGUUGAGCCAUGAUGUUCGCAUAAGGCUGUGUGUGGGAGAAGGAGUUCUGCCUUCUGCAUUUAAUUCUUCUGCACUCCCAGGUCAAGGAGCCAUGGAGGCUGAACUGCAUGAAAGUAGUCUGCACCUGCUUGCACGGAAAUACCUACAGUCAGAAACAUUUUUGCAAACAAAUAUAAUGAUUUUAACUGCUUGGCUCCCUGUCCGAAGCCCUAAUUAAAUAAAAGUGCAGCUUCAUAGACAAUUCAAUCAUUUAAGGUGGCAUUGACAGUGGAAAUGAGUCUCGCACUCUUCUCUCAAGUCCUCCACUGAGCCAGCAAUGGAGAAACUGCACACCGAGACCAGAUUGGUAAGCUGAGCUGUAUGAAAACUGCUUUGCUUGCAUGACUGGGAGGAAACAGUCAAAGUUCUUUUAAGAUAUUUGUAGUUGGAUCAGUACACAAGUAUGUCUUAAAUUCUGCUUCGUAUGGCAAUGGCAGAAGAAGAAAAUACAAAACUUAUCACUACUUGGAGAGGUAAGAUCUCACCCAAAGUGGCAAAGAAUGCACUGGCAAUACUCCCAGUAUACACAAUGUUAGCUUUUGACUGCACCAGUUCCUAUUGCCCUUCCCUAAAAAUAAUCCAAGUCCUGAUGAGGUAAUAAAAACCAUCUCACAAGCAUGUUUCUCACUUUCUACUUGCUUUGUAAGAAUACAGAAUCAUAUAAAUAUUUCAAUUGGAAAAGACCUUCACGAUUAUCUAAUUUGACCAUCCACCUUACUCUACAAGUCUACUGUUAAACUACACUCCUUAGCACCAAGUCUACACGUUUCUUAAAUACCUCCAGAGACGGUAACUCCACCACUUCCCUGGGCAGCCCAUUCCAAUGCCUAAUUGCCUCUUCCAUAAAUAAGUUAUUCCCGAUAUCACAAAUUAAGCUCACCUGGAACAACUUGAGGUCAUUUCCUUGCAUCCUAUCACUUGUAACCUGAGAAAAGAGACGGACACUCUCUUCACUACAGCCUCCUCUCCAGAAGUUCAUAGAAUCAUAGAAUGAAUUGGGUUGGAAGGGGCCUCAAGGAUCAUCAAGUUCCAACCCCCCUGCCACAGGCAGGGCAGCCAGCCGUUAGAU